RNAcentral lists this long non-coding RNA (1963 nucleotides) under Malus domestica (apple). RNAcentral's name for it is "long non-coding RNA (MDOM_LNC015401)". The record is from RNAcentral. Lineage: Eukaryota; Viridiplantae; Streptophyta; Magnoliopsida; Rosales; Rosaceae.
AAUAUAUAAAUUUUGCUAGAAAAUUUAGCAUCUCAAAUGUUGUAGAUGUAUUUCAUUUAAGCAUGAAUAUUGGAACUAAAAUUUGGUGCCAUGUGUUUUGGGAAAUUCGGCCAAAUCCAAAGGGUGAUUUUUUGGGUUCAUGUUUGUCUUGUUAAAAUGGUUUUAAAGUGACUUAUGGAACCCCUAAGUACCCUAGGAUAUUAGCCCUCUUUUUGAGUGGUGAAAAAUUGAGUUUUGGUGAGUGAAAACAUUCAUGGAGCUAUUAUGAGUUUUCAUGGUGUUCUUCAAUGUUCAUGAAGUUCUUGCCAAGAACAUAAAGUUUUGAAGUUUUGAUUCAAAAGUUUUAUGUUUUUCAUAAAGUUUUGGUUUAUAUUUGAUGGGUGAUGGUUAUUGAUGAAGGAUAAUAUAUAUCUUAAUUGUUAGACAAAAUUUCAUUAAUGUUUGACAAAAAUAUCUUACAAACUUAUCCUUAUCACAUUUACAUCACCUAAUAAAAUCAACUUGCAAAAACUUUUUAGAAAUUUUUCAUUUAUCCUAUCCUUGGCCGGCCAACCUUGCAAGUGGGGUAUUUUUGGGUCUUUUGUGCAAUUACAUAAAGUUUUAAUACUUUUGUGUAUUUGCACUUUGGCCCAAAAGUUUACAUUUUUUACGUUAAGGCCCAAAAACUCUAAAGGACAAAUUGUUUUGAUCCUUUAAUGAUGUUUUUACAUUAUUAAAAUUUUGGGAUCUAGUUGUAAUUACAUGAAGUUGUGGACUAUUGUGUUUUUACAAAGUGACCCCAAAAGUUUUUGUAUUUGCAUUGUGGCCCAAAUGUUGUGGUCAUAGUUUCCUUUUGGCCCAAAAGAAUGAGAACAAAAUUGUUUUGUCUCUUAAAUGAGAAUUGGAUUUUCAUUUCAUUUAGUUCCAUUUAAAUCAAUUCUAUGGAUCCAAAAACCAAUUGUUUAAAGUUGUUUUCUUAGUUAAUGUGAUUGAUUAAGAAAAGGGUGAUUAUGAACCAAAGGCCUCGAUAAUUAAGCUAUGUGAAUGGCCGAUUUACAUUAUGAAUGUUUGGGUUUAGUAGUGUAGAUUUGAAUGUAAUUUGAUUAAUUCAAGUUGUUGUAAAUGGACAUAAGUCCAUCAUUUGAUUUGUGUUGUAAAAGGGCAUAAGCCCUUCUUAUUAUUUCAUGUAUUCCUUUUUGUUGAUAUGCAUGCAAAAUGGAAUAGUUGGGUCCAACGCCCAAUAGGAAAUAACGGUUUAAUUGGAUUAAACGCGUAACUAAAAUCAACAUCUACCUACCUUAGACCCAAGGUCCAACACAAGGCUCGUGUUGGAUCAAAUUGAAUGGUUCAUAAUCAUCCUAAAACCUAAUAUGACUAUAUAGUCCAUAUGAGGAUGCAAUGCAUUCGUUAGUAGUUCCAUAUAGUCUCACUUAUUUCUUCGAAAUAGUGGGAGUAUUAUAAACUACUAAAUUUAUAUUAAACUUGGACCAAUAGUUGUGAUAGGCCCAAGUUCUUUUAAUGUGAUUAAAAUGUUUUGAUGUAGCCCAAAACUACUCCCUCAAAAAACCGAAUAUUAAGUUGAUAAGCGAGAGAUGCUUUGAACAUCUCUUCGUAGGCCUUCCACCGUGGUGGGCUUCAAUCGUUUGUGACUCAUACACCGUAUUCGUCCAGUUCUGGGGUAUGCAAAGUAUGUGCUUACAUUCAGGAGAAGCCCAUAAACAUAUGAUGAAGUGAAAGUAGGCAACGAGUAUGGCCAAUAUGGAGUUCUUCUGAGGUCAGUCUUGAACCCCUACUUGAACUAGUAUGGUGGGAAUAACUUAACUAAGUGCAAUGGUGCCAAUAUGGAGUUCUUCUGAGGCAUCAUUCUCUAGAGGCCAAAAUAGAUGGGUAAUUACAAAAGUUGUAAAUGGAUAAUGCGUUAUCCUCUCAUCAUUAUUGUUGCUAGCCAAUAUGGAGUUCUUCUGAGGUGGGCUUGGUAAUGGUG